This 437-nucleotide ribosomal RNA is filed under the name uncultured Clostridium sp. RNAcentral's name for it is "partial 16S ribosomal RNA". It matches the Rfam family "Bacterial small subunit ribosomal RNA", at positions 341 to 792 of the family's 1533-position model. RNAcentral also lists the same sequence under 1 other name. The record is from RNAcentral. Lineage: Bacteria; Bacillati; Bacillota; Clostridia; Eubacteriales; Clostridiaceae.
ACGGAAGGCAGCAGUGGGGGAUAUUGCACAAUGGAGGAAACUCUGAUGCAGCAACGCCGCGUGAGGGAAGAAGGUUUUCGGAUUGUAAACCUCUGUUUUAAGUGACGAACACAAUGACGGUAGCUUAAGAGGAAGCCACGGCUAACUACGUGCCAGCAGCCGCGGUAAUACGUAGGUGGCAAGCGUUGUCCGGAUUUACUGGGUGUAAAGGGUGCGCAGGCGGGACUGCAAGUUGGAUGUGAAAUACCGGAGCUUAACUCCGGAACUGCAUCCAAAACUGUGGUUCUUGAGUGGAGUAGAGGUAAGCGGAAUUCCGAGUGUAGCGGUGAAAUGCGUAGAUAUUCGGAGGAACACCGGUGGCGAAGGCGGCUUACUGGGCUCUAACUGACGCUGAGGCACGAAAGUGUGGGUAGCAAACAGGAUUAGAUACCCUGGUA